AUCCGAACCAACUCCCAGCUACUAAUAUACAGGGUGUCUCAAAAAAACGCUAUGGAAAUUCAACAGGCUAGCUGUCGUGCAUCAUAAAUCGCAACGAUGAGAAAUGGCCACAUACUCGUCAAAUAAAAAUUGCCGGUCGAAAUCACAUUCUUCCACUGUUGGGAAUUGACAAGACAUUAAUUAUGCAAAGUUAGUCAAUCC
Molecule: non-coding RNA, 201 nt
Organism: Paramuricea clavata
Lineage: Eukaryota; Metazoa; Cnidaria; Anthozoa; Malacalcyonacea; Plexauridae
Source: the annotation of a GenBank genome assembly